Molecule: small RNA, 154 nt
Filed under: Caenorhabditis remanei
Lineage: Eukaryota; Metazoa; Nematoda; Chromadorea; Rhabditida; Rhabditidae
Description: Nematode sRNA ceN72-3_ceN74-2
Rfam family: Nematode sRNA ceN72-3_ceN74-2
Source: Rfam by way of RNAcentral
CACUUCGGUCCGAAGUCGAUGGGUUAUCUGCCUUUCCUUCUGCUUGCAGAAGGCCUCCGGUUUCCUUGUGAAACCAAAAACUGUUCAUCAAACGAACAAAUCGCGUUCCCAAAAGAAUGCAAAACCCUUCCCAUCGCACGGCCUCCAGCGAAGG